CCACAGCCUGGCACCCUUCGGCGAGCGCUGUUUGUUUAGGGCUCGGUGAGUCCAAUCAGGAGCGCAGGCUGCAGUUUUCCGGCACAGCAGUAAGAGGCGCCUCCUCUCUCCUUUUUAUUCACCAGCAGCGCCGCGCAGACCCCGGACUCGUGCUCUCUCACCGGCGCCCUCGGCCUCUCUCCGAGCCCAGGAGCACUCUCCGCCGCGGCCGUUCUCCAUGCUCAGCGCUCGCCCGAGGAGCUAAAAGCUAGCUA
Molecule: long non-coding RNA, 254 nt
Filed under: Urocitellus parryii (Arctic ground squirrel)
Lineage: Eukaryota; Metazoa; Chordata; Mammalia; Rodentia; Sciuridae
Description: lncRNA (ENSUPAG00010010388.1)
Source: RNAcentral